This 447-nucleotide ribosomal RNA is filed under the name uncultured bacterium. Its description in RNAcentral is "SSU rRNA". It matches the Rfam family "Bacterial small subunit ribosomal RNA", at positions 26 to 518 of the family's 1533-position model. The record is from RNAcentral.
AGAGCGAACGCUGGCGGCAGGCUUAACACAUGCAAGUCGAGCGCUCGUAGCAAUACGGGAGCGGCAGACGGGAGAGUAACACGUGGGAACGUACCCUUCGGUUCGGAAUAACCCAGGGAAACUUGGGCUAAUACCGGAUACGUCCGUAAGGAGAAAGAUUUAUCGCCGAGGGAUCGGCCCGCGUCCGAUUAGCUAGUUGGUGGGGUAAUGGCCCACCAAGGCGACGAUCGGUAGCUGGUCUGAGAGGAUGAUCAGCCUCACUGGGACUGAGACACGGCCCAGACUCCUACGGGAGGCAGCAGUGGGGAAUAUUGGACAAUGGGCGCAAGCCUGAUCCAGCCAUGCCGCGUGGGUGAUGAAGGCCUUAGGGUUGUAAAGCCCUUUCGGCGGGGAAGAUAAUGACGGUACCGCAGAAGAAGCCCCGGCUAACUUCGCGCCAGCAGCCGC